Molecule: non-coding RNA, 56 nt
Filed under: Gloeochaete wittrockiana
Lineage: Eukaryota; Glaucocystophyceae; Gloeochaetales; Gloeochaetaceae
Source: RNAcentral
UUCAUUUUCAACCCAAGCACAAACGAGAAAGAUGGUCGUCCUCCGCAACCUUUUCU